UACGAAGGGGGGCUAGCGUUGCUCGGAAUCACUGGGCGUAAAGGGUGCGUAGGCGGGUCUUUAAGUCAGGGGUGAAAUCCUGGAGCUCAACUCCAGAACUGCCUUUGAUACUGAGGAUCUUGAGUUCGGGAGAGGUGAGUGGAACUGCGAGUGUAGAGGUGAAAUUUCGUAGAUAUUCGCAAGAACACCAGUGGCGAAGGCGGCUCACUGGCCCGAUACUGACGCUGAGGCACGAAAGCGUGGGGAGCAAACAGG
Molecule: ribosomal RNA, 255 nt
Filed under: uncultured bacterium
Lineage: Bacteria
Description: partial 16S ribosomal RNA
Rfam family: Bacterial small subunit ribosomal RNA
Source: RNAcentral